RNAcentral lists this non-coding RNA (31 nucleotides) under Mus musculus (house mouse). Lineage: Eukaryota; Metazoa; Chordata; Mammalia; Rodentia; Muridae. The record is from RNAcentral.
UGAGAUUAAAGGCCAAAGUAUCUUAAAAAAC